Long non-coding RNA from Tetranychus urticae (two-spotted spider mite), 1691 nucleotides. RefSeq lists it as uncharacterized. NCBI's taxonomy places the organism in Eukaryota, Metazoa, Arthropoda, Arachnida, Trombidiformes, Tetranychidae. The record is from RefSeq and is a predicted model, not a curated record.
UUAUCCAUCCGUAUUCGCUCUUUUAAUCACAGUCAUUGUUUUUUUUUAUAAUUUUAUUUAAUUCUAAUCAAUCAAAAACCUUUUUUUAAAUAUAUUUCUUGAACUUCAACCUAUGUACUCAUCAUGAAUGGAUGUCAACAAGAUUGAAAAAUAAAUAAGCUGAAGCCAUGUGAUAAUAAAUGGAGUUGGAUUUUACGUUUCAUUGUUGGUCUAAAAAAUAGCUGUAAAUGGUUUGAAUUUGAAUUGAAUUUAUCUCAAUUUCACCUUAUAAAUUUAAAAUUUAAACGCUAAAAGAAUAUCAAUAUUUUUACGGAUCGAGUCAAAUCGUGAACUUUUCGAACUAUAUUCCAUUUCAAUAAUCAAUUUGACUUUCUUUUUGGUAUUUGGGUCAUCACUGGUUGAUCAUUUUUUUUUAUCACCAUUACUAAACAUGUUGGAUUACAACAACAACUUAUGUGAUGGAGAGACCGCAAACAACAACAAACGAGCCACCAUCACUAUAACAAUAAUAUCAACUGUUACAAUCCCAACAAUCAAAUGUUAAUCCAUUUUACUCUGCCACACAAUUGACAAAACAAAGUGAUCUGCCAAUUCGUAGUUGCUGUCUUUCACUUUUUUCCCCUGCCUUUCUUGCCUCAAAUUAAUUGCGUGUUAAACCAAUUUUAUAGUUCGUUGCGCGACCCUUAAACUCUGAGUUUGGACAAAAGCAGUUAUCAAAGUUAAUCGUCAAACAGAUCAUCUUCUUUAUAACAAUAGCAAUAAUCACCGUCAUCAUCAAAUCAUUAUUCCCAUUUGGUUCAAUUUAUUACGUUAAUGUUAAUAUCGUAAACAGUCUGAAGCGUUAACUUUAAAGCCGUUUGUGUAUUAAUCAAAUACAGUUUCAGUUAACCUUUAUACUUGUUGCCUUGUGGCCGUACGUUUGUUUGAUUUACAACUCAAGCUUUUCAAAGACGAGAUUCAUCCCGCUAUCUUCAAUGGACGCAAUACUUGAACUAUCGGACUGACUGCAGACAUCAAUGGAUCAAAUAAAAGUCAAUUUAAAUGUAUAAUGAAUCAAUGGAAAGCAUAAUUGCUGUUGAAUAUUCGUCUAUUUGACGUUAAUGUUUUACAUUCAAUUUUGAAUUGUUUUCAAUAAUUUGCGAAACAGUUGUUUAUUGUAAACGUCUGUUUAGUCAAUUAAUUUGGAAUUGAAUUGAUUCCCUUUUGUUCCUUUUUUUGCUUAGUCACAAUUAUUAUUAUAAUUAGAAGGCAAAUUAAGGAGGCAACAUACGAUUGAAAUAAUUUAACCCUCUAGCUUAACUUAAUUGACAAAUCAAUUGGCGUUAAUGGUUGGUGUAACAUGGCUUUUACUUGUUUACCGUAUUUCACCUUAUUAGAGGAACAAGCUGAGCUUUUUGAUUACCAACCGGAAGAAUCCAAUUUCAAUUUCAUCUGAUAACAAGAGAUUGAUAACAAUUGUCUGUAAAUGACAAUAAUUAAGAUGAUUAGCGUUCUUCCACUUUUUGUAUGAAUGUUUGCGCUUUUGUAGUGAUAGAAUGUUGACACAAAUCAACUUUCGUAUUUGACCUUAAUAAUCAUUUAAAUUCUCUUUGAUUAACCACCUUAAGAUUUUAAUUAAACCCCCUUCUAUCUCAAACAAAUUUAACCAUUUUAAAGAAGAAUAAAAGUUAAUCAGAUUUUUUCUUCCUCUA